Molecule: ribosomal RNA, 426 nt
Filed under: uncultured bacterium
Lineage: Bacteria
Description: bacterial SSU rRNA
Rfam family: Bacterial small subunit ribosomal RNA
Source: RNAcentral
AACGCGAAGAACCUUACCAGGGUUUGACAUCCUGCCAAGGUUUCCGAAAGGAAACUGUGCCUUCGGGCCGCAGAGACAGGUGCUGCAUGGCCGUCGUCAGCUCGUGUCGUGAGAUGUUUGGUUAAGUCCAUCAACGAGCGCAACCCUUAUAGUUAGUUGAAUUUCUCUAGCUAGACUGCCCCGGUAACGGGGAGGAAGGAGGGGAUGAUGUCAGGUCAUUAUUGCCCUUACACCCUGGGCUACAAACACGCUACAAUGGCCGGUACAAAGGGCAGCUAAGUCGCGAGACGGAGCAAAUCCCAUCAAAGCCGGUCUCAGUUCGGAUUGUAGGCUGAAACUCGCCUGCAUGAAGCUGGAAUCGCUAGUAACGGUAGGUCAGCACACUACCGUGAAUACGUUCCCGGGCCUUGUACACACCGCGUGUCU